GCUCACCUGGUGGAAUUGGUAGACACGCACGGUUCAGGGCCGUGUGCCGCAAGGUGUGAGAGUUCGAGUCUCUCGGUGAGCACCA
This 85-nucleotide transfer RNA is filed under the name Oligoflexia bacterium. RNAcentral's name for it is "tRNA-Leu". Lineage: Bacteria; Pseudomonadati; Bdellovibrionota; Oligoflexia. The record is from RNAcentral.